UAUUGGACAAUGGGGGAAACCCUGAUCCAGCGACGCCGCGUGAGUGAAGAAGUAUUUCGGUAUGUAAAGCUCUAUCAGCAGGGAAGAAAGAAAUGACGGUACCUGAGUAAGAAGCCCCGGCUAACUACGUGCCAGCAGCCGCGGUAAUACGUAGGGGGCAAGCGUUAUCCGGAAUUACUGGGUGUAAAGGGAGCGUAGACGGCAUGGCAAGUCUGAAGUGAAAGCCCGGGGCUCAACCGCGGGACUGCUUUGGAAACUGUUAAGCUGGAGUGCAGGAGAGGUAAGUGGAAUUCCUAGUGUAGCGGUGAAAUGCGUAGAUAUUAGGAGGAACACCAGUGGCGAAGGCGGCUUACUGGACUGUAACUGACGUUGAGGCUCGGAAGCGUGGGGAGCAAAC
Molecule: ribosomal RNA, 397 nt
Filed under: uncultured bacterium
Lineage: Bacteria
Description: bacterial SSU rRNA
Rfam family: Bacterial small subunit ribosomal RNA
Source: RNAcentral